AAGGGUGUAGCUCAGUGGUAGAGUGCAUGCUUAGCAUGCAGGAGUUUCUAGGUUCAGUCCCCAGUACCUCUA
RNAcentral lists this transfer RNA (72 nucleotides) under Camelus bactrianus (Bactrian camel). It matches the Rfam family "tRNA". Rfam says of the family: Transfer RNA (tRNA) molecules are approximately 80 nucleotides in length. Lineage: Eukaryota; Metazoa; Chordata; Mammalia; Artiodactyla; Camelidae. RNAcentral also lists the same sequence under 2 other names. The record is from Rfam by way of RNAcentral.